RNAcentral lists this ribosomal RNA (253 nucleotides) under uncultured bacterium. RNAcentral's name for it is "partial 16S ribosomal RNA". It matches the Rfam family "Bacterial small subunit ribosomal RNA", at positions 524 to 776 of the family's 1533-position model. The record is from RNAcentral.
UACGUAGGGUGCAAGCGUUAAUCGGAAUUACUGGGCGUAAAGCGUGCGCAGGCGGUUGUGCAAGACCGAUGUGAAAUCCCCGGGCUUAACCUGGGAAUGGCAUUGGUGACUGUACGGCUAGAGUGUGUCAGAGGGGGGUAGAAUUCCACGUGUAGCAGUGAAAUGCGUAGAGAUGUGGAGGAACACCGAUGGCGAAGGCAGCCCCCUGGGUCAAGAUUGACGCUCAUGCACGAAAGCGUGGGGAGCAAACAGG